GACGAACCGUGCGAACGUUAUUCGGAAUCACUGGGCUUAAAGCGCGUGUAGGCGGGCCGGCACGUCGACGGCUGAAAUCCCCCCGCUCAACGGGGGAACGGCCUCGGAUACUUUCGGCCUGGAGGGGGGUAGGGGCGGGCGGAACUGUGGGUGGAGCGGUGAAAUGCGUUGAGAUCCACAGGAACUCCGGUGGCGAAGGCGGCCCGCUGGACCCUUACUGACGCUGAGGCGCGAAAGCCAGGGGAGCGAACGGG
This 254-nucleotide ribosomal RNA is filed under the name uncultured bacterium. Its description in RNAcentral is "partial 16S ribosomal RNA". It matches the Rfam family "Bacterial small subunit ribosomal RNA", at positions 524 to 776 of the family's 1533-position model. The record is from RNAcentral.